Molecule: ribosomal RNA, 468 nt
Filed under: uncultured bacterium
Lineage: Bacteria
Description: bacterial SSU rRNA
Rfam family: Bacterial small subunit ribosomal RNA
Source: RNAcentral
GGACGAACGCUGGCGGCAUGCCUAACACAUGCAAGUCGAACGAGGAUAGCAAUAUCCGAGUGGCGAACGGGUGAGUAACACGUGAGCAACCUGCCUUACACAACGGGAUACCUACUGGAAACAGUAGUUAAUACGGUAUAAGACCACAGUACCGCAUGAUACAGUGGUAAAAGAUUUUAUCGGUGUAAGAUGGGCUCGCGGCGCAUUAGCUAGUUGGAGAGGUAACGGCUCACCAAGGCGACGAUGCGUAGCCGACCUGAGAGGGUGAUCGGCCACAUUGGGACUGAGAUACGGCCCAGACUCCUACGGGAGGCAGCAGUGGGGAAUAUUGGGCAAUGGAGGAAACUCUUACCCAGCCAACGCCGCGUGAGUGAAGAAGGUCGUAAGAUUGUAAAGCUCUUUAGUCAGGGAAAAAGAUAGUGAUUGAUCUGAAGAAUAAGCUCCGGCUAACUACGUGCCAGCCGCCGC